This 347-nucleotide long non-coding RNA is filed under the name Mytilus galloprovincialis (Mediterranean mussel). The record is from RNAcentral. Lineage: Eukaryota; Metazoa; Mollusca; Bivalvia; Mytilida; Mytilidae.
UUAGACCACAUUCAUUCUGUUUCAGAAACCUAUGCUGUGUCAACUAUUUAAUUUUAAAUUUAAAUAAGUUUGAAGAAGAAAUCUUUAAUUGAUUUGUAAGAUCUUGACAUUUUUUUUGUGUAAAAAACCCAUAUAAUGUCAAAAAUUUGAUCACAAUCCAAAUUCAGAGCUGAAUCAAGCUUGAAUGCUUUGUCCAUACUUGCCCCAACUGUUCAGGGUUCGACCUCUGCGGUCGUAUAAAGCUGCGCCCUGCGGAGCACCUGGUUUAUUUGUGAAAUAUAUAAAAAUAUAUGUACAUACACAUACAUCUGUAUAUGACAAUCAGUCAAUACACUUUUGUCCCUAGC